AUUGAACGCUGGCGGCAUGCCUUACACAUGCAAGUCGAACGGUAACAGGUCUUCGGAUGCUGACGAGUGGCGAACGGGUGAGUAAUACAUCGGAACGUGCCUAGUAGUGGGGGAUAACUACUCGAAAGAGUGGCUAAUACCGCAUGAGAUCUACGGAUGAAAGCAGGGGAUCGCAAGACCUUGUGCUACGAGAGCGGCCGAUGGCCGAUUAGGUAGUUGGUGGGAUAAAGCUUACCAAGCCGACGAGCUGUAGCUGGUCUGAGAGGACGAUCAGCCACACUGGGACUGAGACACGGCCCAGACUCCUACGGGAGGCAGCAGUGGGGAAUUUUGGACAAUGGGCGAAAGCCUGAUCCAGCAAUGCCGCGUGCAGGAUGAAGGCCUUCGGGUUGUAAACUGCUUUUGUACGGAACGAAAAGCCCCGGGUUAAUACCCUGGGGUCAUGACGGUACCGUAAGAAUAAGCACCGGCUAACUACGUGCCAGCCGCCGCCGUAA
This 497-nucleotide ribosomal RNA is filed under the name uncultured bacterium. Its description in RNAcentral is "partial 16S ribosomal RNA". It matches the Rfam family "Bacterial small subunit ribosomal RNA", at positions 30 to 523 of the family's 1533-position model. The record is from RNAcentral.